RNAcentral lists this ribosomal RNA (468 nucleotides) under uncultured bacterium. RNAcentral describes it as "partial 16S ribosomal RNA". It matches the Rfam family "Bacterial small subunit ribosomal RNA", at positions 28 to 507 of the family's 1533-position model. The record is from RNAcentral.
GACGAACGCUGGCGGCGUGCUUAACACAUGCAAGUCGAACGGAAAGGCCCUGCUUUUGUGGGGUGCUCGAGUGGCGAACGGGUGAGUAACACGUGAGUAACCUGCCCUUGACUUUGGGAUAACUUCAGGAAACUGGGGCUAAUACCGGAUAGGAGCUCCUGCUGCAUGGUGGGGGGUGGAAAGUUUCGGCGGUUGGGGGUGGACUCGCGGCUUAUCAGCUUGUUGGUGGGGGAGUGGCUUACCAAGGCUUUGACGGGUAGCCGGCCUGAGAGGGUGACCGGCCACAUUGGGACUGAGAUACGGCCCAGACUCCUACGGGAGGCAGCAGUGGGGAAUAUUGCACAAUGGGCGGAAGCCUGAUGCAGCAACGCCGCGUGCGGGAUGACGGCCUUCGGGUUGUAAACCGCUUUCGCCUGUGACGAAGCGUGAGUGACGGUAAUGGGUAAAGAAGCACCGGCUAACUACGUG